Molecule: long non-coding RNA, 765 nt
Organism: Oncorhynchus tshawytscha (Chinook salmon)
Lineage: Eukaryota; Metazoa; Chordata; Actinopteri; Salmoniformes; Salmonidae
Source: Ensembl
CUGCUAGCUUAGUUUGGGUUAAUUGUUGAACCAAACACAGAAAGGACACAUGGAAAUGAAUUUGCUUAGGCAUUAAUCAUACAAACACAUUUAUUUUUCAAUGUGGCAUCUUCUGUUCUCUAUCAGAGCAUGUGAGUGGAAUUGAGUGCCAAAAAACACUCCUCUGGGAAAAAAAACUGCAAAUCUAAAUUCGCUCCAUUCAUUAAAAUCACAAAAACACAUCUAUUUUUAGUGACUACCUGGACCUACCAUUUGGUUUUGACAUAUCAAAGCCAAACCAUAUGAUUGGAAUGAAAAGUAUUUUAGUAAACAACAUGAAAAGGUGACUGUAAGAAGCGCUCAUCAUUUCAAAUAGGCCACAUGUCAUAUUAAACAGCAUAUAACCACUCUAAAUAGGCCACAUGUCAUAUUAAACAGCAUAUAACCACUCUAAAUAGGCCACAUGUCAUAUUAAACUGCAUAUAACCACUCUAAAUAGGUCACAUGUCAUAUUAAACAGCAUAUAACCACUCUAAAUAGGCCACAUGUCAUAUUAAACAGCAUAUAACCACUCUAAAUAGGCCACAUGUCAUAUUAAACAGCAUAUAACCACUCUAAAUAGGCCACAUGUCAUAUUAAACUGCAUAUAACCACUCUAAAUAGGCCACAUGUCAUAUUAAACAGCAUAUAACCACUCUAAAUAGGCCACAUGUCAUAUUAAACAGCAUAUAACCACUCUAAAUAGGCCACAUGUCAUAUUAAACAGCAUAUAACCACUCUAAAUAG